This is a long non-coding RNA of Astatotilapia calliptera (eastern happy), 1633 nucleotides long. Lineage: Eukaryota; Metazoa; Chordata; Actinopteri; Cichliformes; Cichlidae. The record is from Ensembl.
AUUUUACCUACUUUUAUUUUUUAAAAAUAUAUGGAUGUCAACUUAAAAAAUACAAGGCUAUUUUUGAGAGACUGCAGAUUGGGUAUUUCAGCUUGCACUGUAUUUGAUAUCAAAGAAAGAAAUACACUGUAAAAAAAAAAUAUAUAUAACAAUGUCAGCAAAAACCACAAUGUACAACACGCUUAUUAAACUACUGCUAGCUUGUCCUGAGAGAAAUAGUUUAACUUAUUUGCCUUUACAAAUAUCAGAGAUAACCUCUCUAAUAUUAUCUGGUCUUUACCUCAUAUAAAGCACCUUGAGAUGGCUGUUAUUGUGAUUUUGCUAUAUAAACUGAAUCCAGUUCAAUUCAGUUGAAAUGAAAUAAAAUAACUGCCACAACUGGUAGCUUCUAGAGGGUAGACUUAACUCAUGUUUGGUGCCACCGGUAACAUUGCACAGAUUUAGGCAGAAUUGUAAAUGCAGAAUCAAGAUAACUUUUUAAUUUUGUUUUUCUUAGAAGUCAUCUUUAUUGGUCAAUUAAUGCCUUAUAUCAUAUGGCAAUUAUUUUUCUACAGAUUAUUCAUUUAAUUUUUGUUUUGUUUCUCAUAGUUGCACAUACUACUAAGAUGAUUAGGCGUCUUUUACAGUCAAUAUUCAACAUGCUGCACAGGAAUAGUUGCCUUAUUUUUCUGACAGAAAAUGAGCACUGCUUUGUUUUCAGAAAAGUUGUCUAACUCUGCAGAUGUCCCUUGCCAUUCCAAAUCUUGCUCGAACAUUCCAACAUAGUAUCAGUCGUAGACAGUAUAAAAGAUGGUUGUAGCUUCUGGGUUGUGGAAUAUGAAGCCAAUGCAGAAGUGCCUUAAACCUAAAGUAUACUCUGUCACAAGUCAAGCUAUUGUCACAGAUGACAAUAGCUUUUCUUGCAGAGACUUUAUUUUCUUAUAUAAGUCUACUGGAAAAAUGGCUUUCUGUUUUGACCUGUUUUGAUCUGUCUUGACCCGAUGUGUUUAUGAACUUAGUCGCUCAUUUUGGGUCGCAUUAAAUGCAAAAAAUAAGCCUAUUUUAUAAAAUCUUGGUCAUUUAAAAAAAAAGAAAAGAAAAAAGAAGAGUAUUAUCCAUGGUAUUCUGUCAUCACGCUCACUGCCUAAAAAUCUAUCAAUUAUAAGUCAUUAUUCAGUGAGGAAAUCACAUUUCUUUAAAACUAAGAUGGCACAAUAAAAGCACUAAUCUUAAGGCUUCUUAACCAGUGGAUUACAUCAUAGUAACUACUUCCACCUUUUACACUGGCUGUGAUACCAGUAAAGUUGUUUUCAGACCAGUGCACAUGACUUCUAAAAAUAUGCAUUUAAAAAAAACUAUUUCUCUUUGAUAACGCCAGCUGAUAGCAGUAGAUCAAGCAAGCAAAAACAUUCUUUUAUAGCAGGUACAUUUGACUGCUGAAAAAUCCAACCUCACCGAAACAGGUUAGAUUUUACAAAAUCUAUUACACUGUUACAUAGUCACACAUGGGCAGCAGUUUAAUAUACUACAGAGUAGAGGAGGUACUAGCAGACAUGAGCCCUAAAGUUGCUUUUUUUUUCCUUUUAAUUAUUUUUUUUUUCUUUUUGCCUAUUGUCAUUGUUUAAAAUUGGUUAAUGGAAGCUAAUAAAAUCCC